GACGAACGCUGGCGGCGUGCUUAACACAUGCAAGUCGAACGGAAAGGCCCUGCUUUUGUGGGGUGCUCGAGUGGCGAACGGGUGAGUAACACGUGAGUAACCUGCCCUUGACUUUGGGAUAACUUCAGGAAACUGGGGCUAAUACCGGAUAGGAGCUCCUGCUGCAUGGUGGGGGUUGGAAAGUUUCGGCGGUUGGGGAUGGACUCGCGGCUUAUCAGCUUGUUGGUGGGGUAGUGGCUUACCAAGGCUUUGACGGGUAGCCGGCCUGAGAGGGUGACCGGCCACAUUGGGACUGAGAUACGGCCCAGACUCCUACGGGAGGCAGCAGUGGGGAAUAUUGCACAAUGGGCGGAAGCCUGAUGCAGCAACGCCGCGUGCGGGAUGGCGGCCUUCGGGUUGUAAACCGCUUUCGCCUGUGAUGAAGCGUGAGUGACGGUAAUGGGUAAAGAAGCACCGGCUAACUACGUG
Molecule: ribosomal RNA, 468 nt
Filed under: uncultured bacterium
Lineage: Bacteria
Description: partial 16S ribosomal RNA
Rfam family: Bacterial small subunit ribosomal RNA
Source: RNAcentral